The sequence is a small RNA, 194 nucleotides long. It matches the Rfam family "Listeria sRNA rli28". The record is from Rfam.
CUAUUUUUGUUAUAAUAAUGGUGCAUUGAGUGAUAGUGGCUUACUUUUCUAGAAAGUAGGUGGUGCUUAUGUAUGAUAAAUAACAUAAACAACAAAACCUAUAGAAGGGAAGUAAAAAGUGUCUGUAAAAGACGCUUUAACAUUAAUGCUAAUGUUCGGCGAUUUAAUUAUUGCCCUCAUAGCAUUAAUAUUGA